GCUGGCGGCAGGCCUAACACAUGCAAGUCGAACGGAGUUAUAUUGUAGCUUGCUAUGGUAUAACUUAGUGGCAGACGGGUGAGUAAUGUAUAGGAAUCUACCUAGUAGUACGGAAUAAUUGUUGGAAACGGCAACUAAUACCGUAUACGCCCUACGGGGGAAAAAUUUAUUGCUAUUAGAUGAGCCUAUAUUAGAUUAGCUAGUUGGUGGAGUAAUAGCCUACCAAGGCAAUGAUCUAUAGCUGAUCUGAGAGGAUGAUCAGCCACACUGGAACUGAGAUACGGUCCAGACUCCUACGGGAGGCAGCAGUGGGGAAUAUUGGACAAUGGGCGAAAGCCUGAUCCAGCCAUGCCGCAUGAGUGAAGAAGGCCUUUGGGUUGUAAAGCUCUUUUAGUGAGGAAGAUAAUGACGGUACUCACAGAAGAAGUCCUGGCUAACUCCGUGCCAGCAGCCGCGGUAAUACGGAGAGGGCUAGCGUUAUUCGGAAUUAUUGGGCGUAAAGGGCGCGUAGGCGGAUUAGUAAGUUAAAAGUGAAAUCCCAAGGCUCAACCUUGGAAUUGCUUUUAAAACUGCUAAUCUAGAGAUUGAAAGAGGAUAGAGGAAUUCCUAGUGUAGAGGUGAAAUUCGUAAAUAUUAGGAGGAACACCAGUGGCGAAGGCGUCUAUCUGGUUCAAAUCUGACGCUGAGGCGCGAAGGCGUGGGGAGCAAACAGGAUUAGAUACCCUGGUAGUCCACGCUGUAAACGAUGAAUGUUAAAUAUGGGAAGUUUUACUUUCUGUAUUACAGCUAACGCGUUAAACAUUCCGCCUGGGGACUACAGUCGCAAGAUUAAAACUCAAAGGAAUU
Molecule: ribosomal RNA, 846 nt
Filed under: uncultured bacterium
Lineage: Bacteria
Description: bacterial SSU rRNA
Rfam family: Bacterial small subunit ribosomal RNA
Source: RNAcentral